Molecule: long non-coding RNA, 594 nt
Organism: Herpailurus yagouaroundi (jaguarundi)
Lineage: Eukaryota; Metazoa; Chordata; Mammalia; Carnivora; Felidae
Exons: 2
Source: RefSeq, a predicted model, not a curated record
AAUAAAACGGGGCAAACCGAUGGCCCCUACCUGCCAGUGGCAAGGACAGCCAAGCCUAUGACGAGAAGCCAGUGAAGCCGGUGCCCCAGCGGAGGCCGUCCAAGCGACACCGGCUGACGCCUACAGAGCCCUUACCACGUGCCGGGCACCGUGUUGGUGUUCAUUCGGUCCUUGCAGUGGUCUGUGCGGGAAGCACAAUCAUGGUCCUUGUUCUUGGUGUGCAGAAACAGAGGCACAGAUCGGUGGAGCGAGCUGCCUAAUACCGCAGAGCUGACACAUGUGGGUCAGUACGCGAGACCCAGCACCUGCUGCUUUUGUCACCGCGCCACCUGCCUCUGGGCCCAGGGACGACCUCCUCUGAGCUCCGGCUCAGCUGAACUGAGGCAGCUCAGAGUCAGAACGGCCUCUGGUAUUGCCUGAAGCCAGGGCUGCACGCACACUACCUCUGCGUCCCUAUGCUUUAUCUUCUGUUUCUCCUCUUUGUCUCUCCCUCCCCUUUCCCUAGAAGAUCCAGAAGGUGCUUUCUCUAAACUCCCCCCCUCUUGCAUGAGGUCCAUUAGUGCCAUCUGGCAGAAAUAAAAAGUCUAAAAAGGA